Non-coding RNA from Paramuricea clavata, 73 nucleotides. The record is from the annotation of a GenBank genome assembly. NCBI's taxonomy places the organism in Eukaryota, Metazoa, Cnidaria, Anthozoa, Malacalcyonacea, Plexauridae.
GGCCUGUUAGCUCAGUCGGCAGAGCGUGGUGCUAAUAACGCUAAGGUCGUGAGUUCGAUCCUCAUACAGGCCA